Herpailurus yagouaroundi (jaguarundi) is the source of this 1523-nucleotide long non-coding RNA. RefSeq lists it as uncharacterized. Lineage: Eukaryota; Metazoa; Chordata; Mammalia; Carnivora; Felidae. The record is from RefSeq and is a predicted model, not a curated record. The transcript has 3 exons.
AGCUUCCAACCCCGCGCGGGCACAUGCGCACACGUGCCUCUCGGACGUGCGAGCCCACACGCAGAUGCGUGCGUAUCAGCGCCCCCAACCUGCGCCGAACCCGCCUUGCCUGCGCCAAAGAUCGUGCGCACCGCCCUCUCCCGAGAGUGGGCCAGCUCUAGGGGCUCCGCGGAGCUCUUUGGAGGCGCUAUUCUGAAUCCCUCGGCAAGUCGCCAUGACUCAGCAUCCCAAUGGGCGCAGCUGUCGGGGCAGCCCGAAAAAAUCCCUCCGCGUGGAUAGCCCCGCCUUCCCGUGGGCUCCUUCAACUCAGCCGCAGAACUAGCGCUCCACCCACCUUUCCCUCCCCCGGACUUCGUCCUGCAUACACAUGCCGGUGCUCCCAUGUUUCCUGCUCCUGCCUGACUCCUGUCCAGCUACUCCGAUUUAAGGCCUGACAUAUAUAAAUGCCCGUGCCUCAGUUUCCCCAUCUGUAGAACAGGGCUCUUAUUUGGAGCUGUGCUAGUUUCACAAAUACUCAAGGGCAGCCAACUGGUUUUUCAAGGCUGCACUAGGCUCUGAAAUUAAAUCCUUCUGCAGAGGUAGGACUGUCCCUGACUUCCUAAGUUGCCUCCGCUGUCAAAUCCUCUGUCCCGGACCAGUCUGUCUUGCUGAGGGCCUUGAAGAUGCCCAGGGCCGAGCAGGAUCACUUGAACUUUCUGAGCCAGAUUUUCUUUUUGUUGUGGUUUAGUCAAACGCUCCAAGCUUCACUGUCGCCAGGAUCCUCAGCUGGAACCUUCUCUUCCGGUACUCCAGUCAUGAAUACCCAAUGCAACACCUACACUUCAGAUGUCUAAUAAGAUCCCUUCGAUGGCUUCCUGUCGCUCUCAGAAAACCAAAGUUUUCACAAGGUCUUGUAAGUUCCGUGGUCUUCUUGCUUUCCUUCCCUCUCUGAACUCAACUUCUUUUUCUUUCAUUCACACCACGCCAGCCACAAGUACCUCCUUCCGCUUCUGAAACACCUAAGCGUGCUCGCUGGGGAAUUUUCCAGUUGUUCUUCCCUUUGCCUGAGCACUUUCCCCCCAGACAUCUAAAGUGGCUGGCUUCCUCACCUUCUUCAGGCUUUUUUUUGCUCAAAAAGUCACCUCAUUAGUCAUUAACCUUGGCCAUUCUAUUCAAAAUUGCAACCCCAAUUUCCAGCACCCUUUCCAGCUUUCCUUUUCAAAGUAGCACUUACCAGCCUAUGACCCGCCAUAUAUGUAUUUAUUACUUAUGUAUCUACAACCCCUGGAACACUACCUGGGACGUAGUGGGAAGUGGGAACACUACCUGGGAAGGUAUUGAAUGAAUGGACGAAGGAAGCAGGCGGGGGAAUGGGGAGCUCGGCCUCUUUACCCCAGUCACUUCCAAGCAUAGGCUGGCAGACCAAGGGACUGCCUUGUUGCAGGGAGAGGCAAGCUGAGGCCCAGUGCAGCGGUGACUGCCAAGGUCGCCCCGAGGGCGCUGACAGCCGGGGAGCGGAGCGGGGUGGGGCGGGGAGCGGGGGU